This 30-nucleotide non-coding RNA is filed under the name Rattus norvegicus (Norway rat). Lineage: Eukaryota; Metazoa; Chordata; Mammalia; Rodentia; Muridae. The record is from RNAcentral.
UGAGACACUGGGCCCAUUGCCUCACUCUGA